GGGGGAGGGGGAUGUUUGCCCGGAAACCGGGAAAGGGAAUAACACUCGAAAUGUAUAUAAGAAAUACUCAAGUUAAUAAAAAAAAAAGAAAUACUCAAGUUAAUAAAAAAAAAAAAAAAAAAAAAAAAAUUAACUCAAAUGAAUCAGUAGCCUUCCUCUACACAAAAGAGAAACAAGCUGAGAAAGAAAUUAGGCCUUCAUAAUAGUCCCAAAUAAUAUAAAACACCUCGGUGUGACUUUAACCAAGCAAGUGAAAGAUCUGUAUGAUAAGAACUUCAAGCCUCUGAAGAAAGAAAUUGAAGAAGAUCUCAGAAGAUGGAAAGAUCUCCCAGGCUCAUGGAUUGGCAGGAUUAAUAUAGUAAAAAUGGCCAUUUUACCAAAAGCAAUCUACAGAUUCAAUGCAAUCCCCAUCAAAAUACCAAUCCAAUUCUUCAAAGAGUUAGACAGAAUAAUUUCCAAAUUCAUCUGGAAUAACAAAAAACCCAGGAUAGCUAAAACUAUCCUCAACAAUAAAAGGACUUCCAGGGGAAUCACUAUCCCUGAACUCAAGCAGUAUUACAGA
This 562-nucleotide long non-coding RNA is filed under the name Rattus norvegicus (Norway rat). Its description in RNAcentral is "long non-coding RNA NONRATT019242". Lineage: Eukaryota; Metazoa; Chordata; Mammalia; Rodentia; Muridae. The record is from RNAcentral.